AAAAAAAAAAAAAAAAGACUUGGCGGAUUCCAAAACCCUAUUUUAAUCUCUUCCCUUUCAGUUCCGUCUUUUGCUUUUGCUCCAUUUUCCAACGACACUCUCUCUCUAUUAACUCUUUGUUUUUUUUCACUGAUCCGACAACAACACCAGAAGAAGAUAAAACGAUGGGAAGAUCUCCAGCUUCUUCUUGUCUCCGUAUCAUCGCUUGCUCCGGCGGAGACGACGCCGCCUCCGAACCUACGGCUAAUGCUCUAGAGAGCAAGAGCUCUGGUGACAAGCGAGGAUGGAGUUUCAGGAAGAAAUCUGGGAAGCAACGAGGGGUGAUGAUCACUAGCGUUGCUGUCUCUGAGACUAGUCCUGCUUCUAGGAGUAGAGAGACUCUUGAAUCUGCUCUUCUUCUCAAGUCUCCAUCUCCUGACAAUAAUAACAUUGUAGAUGAAAAGCAGACGUUCUCUGUUGUUGAUGAUGAGAAGAAGAAGAAGAGUCAGUUGCCUGUUGUUGCCUAUGUGGCUGAGCCUGUGGAUGUGAACAAAGCAACGGAGGUGGCGGUUCUUGUGGAAUCAAAAGGGACUGAAACUGAGGAGGAUGGGUUAAUUGGAACUGAGUUACAAUCUAAGUUGGAUGGAGCAGAUGCUGAUGAUGCAACUGUGAUAGAGAAGGACACCACUCCACAGGUUGAACAAGAUGAUGUGAUCAUUAUCAGAAAAGAAGUUGAUGAUUCUGUUGUCAUUAUCAUCCAAGCUGCUAUACGUGGAUUCUCGGCGAGAAGAGAACUGUUGAGGCGCAAGAAAGUUGUGAAACUUCAAGCUGCUGUACGUGGCCACCUUGUCAGGAACCAGGCCAUGGGAUCACUGCGUUGCGUCCAAGCUAUUGUCAAAAUGCAAACGAUGGUCCGUGCUCGUCAUUCCGCUAAAGAUGGAAGCCGUGUUUCAGCAAUCUCGGAUAAGGCGGAAACAAAUGCAGCUGCACAAAAGCUUCUCGAGAACAAGUUUGCUAAACAUCUAAUGGAGUCAACUCCCAAGACGAAGCCUAUCAGCAUUAAGUGUGAUCCAACAAAGCCUAGCUCUGCUUGGAGCUGGUUGGAGAGGUGGAUGUCUGUUUCAAAGCCCGAGAAGACUCCAAAGCUAGACUUGGCAUUGGAAGAAACCAACAAUGCCAAGGUAUCAUCUCAAGUUGACUUGGUGAGCUCUGACUCAGCCUUAGAGACCGAAGCUGAAACUGGUUUCUCAAGCAAGGUAGUAGACCAUCAUGUGGAGCUAUCUGAGACUGAGAAAACGAGCCAAUGUGAUUCACCGGAAGCAUCUGCAGAGGUUGAUCAUGACUUGAUGAACCAGUCUCAUCCACUUCCUGCUAAGGAUACCGAAGCUGGAUAUGUGGAUGAAGAGCCUAAACCUUCUUUGAAGCGCAAGGCUAGCAAUCCUUCUUUCGCUGCAGCGAAAUCAAAGUUUGAGGAGCUAACGUCAUCAUCUGCUGGUUCAAAGAAAGCAAUGACGCUCUCUUCUAAAGAUUGUGUUUUAGGCGAAGAAGGCAAGACAGGUAUAGAUUCAUCAGAGGCUAAAAAGGAUCAGACUCUGGAAGAGGUUGCUCCAGCGGAGAACAAUGGAUCUGAGUGUGGAACUGAACUCUCUGUAACUUCUUCUCUCGAUUCACUUGACAAGAAGUCAGACUUUGAGGGUGCAGAGUCCAAGGCUCUGGCUAAGCUUCUAGAAAACGGCACUCCUAAAGCAGACCAAUCAGAGCUGAUUGAAAUUGAUGUGAAUUCUAAAACUCCAUUGGCUACUGUAGAGGACUCUAAGGAUGAAGUUGAGGUUUUAGUGACACAGCAUGAAUCAGUUAUCACUACACCAGAUUCCAAAAAGAGACGUGCAGAAGAUGAAUCAGGUCCUCAAGCAAACUCGUUACCUGAGGAAGCUGUAACUCCCAUGACAAUCACUGAAUCUCAGGCAACGCCGGCGAGUCAAGCAUCUUGUUCGGUAAAUCCAAGAUAGGAAAAAUCCGGCAAGAGUGGUGGUUCAAGCCAAAAGAGGAAAGUUAGCAAGAAAAUAGCAUCAAGUCCCAAACAGGAGACUGAUACUACAACAGAACAAGAAGGGAAAGAACAGAGAAGCGGGAGAAGAAACUCUUUUGGGUAUGAUCAAGAAGCAAGAGAAAGCAGCAGCGGAGGGAAAAACUCUAUUCCGAGGUUCAUGCAGCCAACACAGUCGGCGAAAGCUAAGGUUCAGGAACAUAACUCACCGAGAUCAAGCCCUGAUGUUCAGGAAAGAGAGGUUUCGGUCAAGAAGAGGCAUUCAUUGCCGGUUGUUGCUAAUGUGAAACAAGUAUCUCCUAGAAUCCAACGGUCUGCGUCUCAAGCACAGCCGGGAACAAAGGAUAGAAAAUGGCAGAGAUGAAGCUGACCAAAAGGAAAAUCUUAGGGGGGGAGUUGGGGUAAUUUGCAAUAUUUUGAUGUUUGGUAAUGUUUGUUUUCAGACAAUCCUUAAAACUCUAAUUUUCAGACAACCAAAGUGGACAGAGAAAGAGCCGAGAGUGGAGGGAGGGAGGGAUAGUCUUGUGUAUAGAGAGAGUCAUUUCCGUGUUCUUUCUUUAUUGGAUUAUUUGGUUUGGUUUGGUGUUUGUUUAUUUGUUUGGAGUUUGGACAUAACCUGAUCAGAUAAAAGAGUAUUUUGGUUAUUCCUAUA
RNA transcript from Brassica napus (rape), 2678 nucleotides. It is a transcript of the gene named protein IQ-DOMAIN 32, with no coding region annotated. The transcript has 6 exons. NCBI's taxonomy places the organism in Eukaryota, Viridiplantae, Streptophyta, Magnoliopsida, Brassicales, Brassicaceae. The record is from RefSeq and is a predicted model, not a curated record.